UACGUAGGGUGCAAGCGUUAAUCGGAAUUACUGGGCGUAAAGCGUGCGCAGGCGGUUUUGUAAGUCAGAUGUGAAAUCCCCGGGCUUAACCUGGGAACUGCGUUUGAAACUACAAGGCUAGAGUGUGACAGAGGGGGGUGGAAUUCCACGUGUAGCAGUGAAAUGCGUAGAGAUGUGGAGGAACACCGAUGGCGAAGGCAGCCCCCUGGGUUAACACUGGACGCUCGAGGCACGAAAGCGUGGGGAGCAAACAGG
This 255-nucleotide ribosomal RNA is filed under the name uncultured bacterium. RNAcentral's name for it is "partial 16S ribosomal RNA". It matches the Rfam family "Bacterial small subunit ribosomal RNA", at positions 524 to 776 of the family's 1533-position model. The record is from RNAcentral.